UACGGGGGGAGCAAGCGUUGUUCGGAAUUACUGGGCGUAAAGUGUGCGCAGGCGGCUGAGCAAGUCGAGUGUGAAAGCCCCGAGCUUAACUUGGGAACUGCGCUCGAAACUACUUGGCUAGAGUGUGGCAGAGGGAGGUGGAAUUCCACGUGUAGCGGUGAAAUGCGUAGAGAUGUGGAGGAACACCGAUGGCGAAGGCAGCCUCCUGGGCCAACACUGACGCUCAUGCACGAAAGCGUGGGGAGCAAACAGG
RNAcentral lists this ribosomal RNA (253 nucleotides) under uncultured bacterium. Its description in RNAcentral is "partial 16S ribosomal RNA". It matches the Rfam family "Bacterial small subunit ribosomal RNA", at positions 524 to 776 of the family's 1533-position model. The record is from RNAcentral.